AACAUUUCUGGGGGUUUUUAGGCUCUGGGCACUGUGCCGAAUUUGUUAUGGAUGGUAACUCUUUGGCUAGUUUCCAUCUGAGUUGGAAGUCGAACCAGGGCAGGCUGAACGGAAGGCAGUAUCUGGGGGAGCAGCAGAGUCCUGGGGAGGGAGGUAAAUGACACCUCAGAAUUGUGAGGACUUUGUUGUUCUCCCCAAGGUGCUUCUGAAAUGUCCCUCAAUCAUUUUAAUCAGAGGCAAUAUAACUUUGGGGUCAGAGGACCAGAUGUAUUCUUCUUCUUUACAUUCCCUUCUCUUUCUCCUUCCAAUGGUUAUUUAAAGACCUACAGUGUAUGAGGCUCUGUGCUGGCCAUAGGGAAGUGUAGAACCAGACAGGCAAGGUUCCUGCUACCAUGGUGCUUCCAUCCUGGAGAUGGAGACACAGUUAAUGAACCAAAUAAAUGAGCAAGAUGAUUUUUGGUGCUAUGAAAGCUAAAUAGGGUGUCAGUAACACUGUGACUGGGAAAGAAGGGGCUUUAUUAUAUUGGGUCAUUGCGAAUGACCACAUGGAGAAAGUGAUUUUGAGGCAAGAUCUGAAUUCUGAAGUAAAUGUUCAAGUCUUAGUGCUACCACUCAUGAGCUGUAUGAGUUUGGGCAGGUUACUCAGUCUCUCUGAACCCUAGUUCCCUCUUCUGUAAAAUGAGGCCAUAGCUACCUUUCUGGGUUUCUGUGAAAAUAAAAGGCAACACAUGUAAAGCAGCUGACAUCAGGAAGGACCCUGUAGAUGCUCACAAAAACAUAUGGGACUGAUUUAAGCCCCUAGAUCACGCUUCCUGUCUACACUGAUGUGAAAAUAUCAGUGUUGGUGCAGAAAUGAAAAAGAAGAAGCUUCUCCUCCCACACACCACUCAAGCUUUCAUCAACAUGGACAUCCACAAGCAAUGGCUCUUCAUUCAGCUACUUAAAUAAAAGCUCAAAAGCAUUGGCA
Manis javanica (Malayan pangolin) is the source of this 967-nucleotide non-coding RNA. NCBI's taxonomy places the organism in Eukaryota, Metazoa, Chordata, Mammalia, Pholidota, Manidae. The record is from RefSeq and is a predicted model, not a curated record.